GAACUUUGUCAAGUGUCAUAUUGUUCCCUGUAUAACUCUAAAUGGCAUUUUCUUGGAGAAAUUUAUCAUGGGGAUGCUCACAAAUUUUGGAAGCAUGGCAUUAGAUCGAAUGCAUAAUACUCUCAAGAUGUUUUGUGUAGCUGAUCCCCCUUAUGAUAAAUCACUCCAACAGCUUCAGAGCUUCUAAUCUAGUCUAGUAUCUGAAGAUAAGAGAUGGAAUGUACUUUCUGAAGAAAUAAUGAGUUGAUAGAAUUUCAACUCAUCCUCUGAAUCAUUAAGCAAUAGCACUGGUGAGACUUUUUUCAGAUUUAAAUGAAACAACAGUUGGAAAUAAUGCUUUCCUGUUCUCUUCAUUGCAUGAGGUAUCGCAGAAUUGAUGCCCAGAUACUCUUCCCGCAUUUUGGGAAUGUCUACAGGCAGCUUUGCCAAAAUUGCAGGGAGUUUUUUCAUUCUGUAUAUAGCCUUGAGAAAUGGUCGAUCUUUGUGGCAGGAGUGUCGCAAUCAUCCUGUUUGUUGAUUCUAGUUGGAGUGUCUCUGGGAUGUUUUCCAGUGGAUUUGUGGAGAGCGACUUUGGCCAUACUUGAGAAAAUCACUCUUCAGCUCUACAUGGAAAACAGCAUUCUGGUUUAUGCAUGCUCAUGGAUGUGGGGUUCUGGACAGCGUUUAAAAUUGCAGGAAGUCAGAAGAUCCUAAAGAGUGGUACUUAACAUGUUCCUGUGAUGAUUAAUUACUAAAUUUAUGAUGAUUUGUACUUUUGAUAGUUUAAAUACAUCAGAAAUGCUGCGUACACUCUUACAUGGUAAGAGUGAAUUUUAAGAUGCCCCCAA
Molecule: long non-coding RNA, 827 nt
Organism: Alnus glutinosa
Lineage: Eukaryota; Viridiplantae; Streptophyta; Magnoliopsida; Fagales; Betulaceae
Exons: 2
Source: RefSeq, a predicted model, not a curated record